UACCUUCGCUUCCUUGCACGGGGCUGGUU
This 29-nucleotide non-coding RNA is filed under the name Rattus norvegicus (Norway rat). Lineage: Eukaryota; Metazoa; Chordata; Mammalia; Rodentia; Muridae. The record is from RNAcentral.